GGGCGGAACCGAAAUUGUGAAUUUUGCAGCCAACGCACGCUUUUUCAGCAACCCUCGCGCGUUUUUUACCGUGCGAGGGUUGCGCAAAAAGCGCGCGGGUGUUGCGAAAUUCAAACUCUCGGCUCCACCCACUG
Caenorhabditis elegans is the source of this 134-nucleotide small nucleolar RNA. Lineage: Eukaryota; Metazoa; Nematoda; Chromadorea; Rhabditida; Rhabditidae. The record is from Ensembl.